Molecule: ribosomal RNA, 613 nt
Filed under: Titanophora weberae
Lineage: Eukaryota; Rhodophyta; Florideophyceae; Nemastomatales; Schizymeniaceae
Description: eukaryotic LSU rRNA
Rfam family: Eukaryotic large subunit ribosomal RNA
Source: RNAcentral
AUGACAAGCACUUUGAAAAGAGGGUGAAAAGAGCCUGAAACCGUUACGGGGGAAGCGGAUUGCAUUGGAUUUGGACCGGGCGUCAUCGUGUUCAGCCUGUUUUGUCUAAAAAUUAGGUGUAUUCACGUUUUUUGAUGCUCAACCGUCGUGGGUUUUCGGGCGGUGAUACUGUUUUUUUAUGGUGGCCGUCUGGGGACUGAGGGCUCCCCUUUUUUGGGUUGAGGACGACGGUGUGACGAUGCGAUACGACCCGUCUUGAAACACGGACCAAGGAGUCUAGCGCGAUUGCGAGUCGAAGGGUGUGAAACAAACCUGUGGGCGUAGUGAAAGCGAAUUGUUCUUUGUAACAGAAAAACGGACAGUUUGAGGCGGCAUAAAAUCGUUGAUUUUAGGUCUGACCUUGAGCAGUUGCGCUGGGACCCGAAAGAUGGUGAACUAUGCCGGAGUAGGGCGAAGCCAGGGGAAACCCUGGUGGAGGCUCGCAGCGGUGCUGACGUGCAAAUCGCUCGUCGAACUUGGGUAUAGGGGCGAAAGACUAAUCGAACCAUCUAGUAGCUGGUUCCCUCCGAAGUUUCUCUCAGGAUAGCUGGGUGAUCAGCGUGUUGUUUUGUGC